CCUACGGGUGGCAGCAGUGAGGAAUAUUGGUCAAUGGCCGGAAGGCUGAACCAGCCAUGCCGCGUGAAGGUCAGUGCCCUAUGGGCGUUUAACCUCUUUUGUGCGGGAGCAAUAAUGGUCACGUGUGGCCAGACGAGAGUACCGUACGAAUAAGCAUCGGCCAACUCCGUGCCAGCAGCCGCGGUAAUACGGGGGAUGCAAGCGUUAUCCGGAUUUUUUGGGUUUAAAGGGUGCGUAGGAUGGGAUGUAAGGCAGCGGUGAAAUGCCCGCGCUCAACGGGGUGAAGUGCCAUUGAUACUGGCUGGCUGGAGUGCAGAUGCCGUAGGAGGAAUGUGUGGUGUAGCGGUGAAAUGCAUAGAUAUCACACAGAACACCGAUUGCGAAGGCAUCCCACGAAUCCGCGAUUGACACUGAUGCACGAAAGUGUGGGUAUCAAACAGGAUUAGAUACCCUAGUAGUC
This 460-nucleotide ribosomal RNA is filed under the name uncultured bacterium. RNAcentral's name for it is "partial 16S ribosomal RNA". It matches the Rfam family "Bacterial small subunit ribosomal RNA", at positions 338 to 795 of the family's 1533-position model. The record is from RNAcentral.